AGUGUCGCCUCCAGACUCCCGUGUUUAAGUCUGGUAUGGCCAAACCCAUCCACCAUGCCUGAGUGCUCAUCAGGCAAAGGCAUGUCAGGGUUGGAAGGCAGGUAGUCAACAUUCCUUCACUUAUGGUGAGGGUAGAUUCGCAGAAGCACAUUGAUUUCUCUCUCACGAGUCCGUUUGGUGGUGGAUGCCCAGGAAGAGUGAAGA
Molecule: long non-coding RNA, 204 nt
Organism: Hibiscus syriacus
Lineage: Eukaryota; Viridiplantae; Streptophyta; Magnoliopsida; Malvales; Malvaceae
Exons: 2
Source: RefSeq, a predicted model, not a curated record